ACGCGAGUGGCGGAAUUGGCAGACGCGCAGGAUUUAGGAUCCUGUACCGAAAGGUGCGGGUUCGACCCCGCCUCGCGUA
RNAcentral lists this transfer RNA (79 nucleotides) under Planctomycetota bacterium. RNAcentral's name for it is "tRNA-Leu". It matches the Rfam family "tRNA". Rfam says of the family: Transfer RNA (tRNA) molecules are approximately 80 nucleotides in length. Their secondary structure includes four short double-helical elements and three loops (D, anti-codon, and T loops). The record is from RNAcentral. Lineage: Bacteria; Pseudomonadati; Planctomycetota.